RNAcentral lists this transfer RNA (73 nucleotides) under Ailuropoda melanoleuca (giant panda). It matches the Rfam family "tRNA". Rfam says of the family: Transfer RNA (tRNA) molecules are approximately 80 nucleotides in length. Their secondary structure includes four short double-helical elements and three loops (D, anti-codon, and T loops). Further hydrogen bonds mediate the characteristic L-shaped molecular structure. tRNAs have two regions of fundamental functional importance: the anti-codon, which is responsible for specific mRNA codon recognition, and the 3' end, to which the tRNAs corresponding amino acid is attached (by aminoacyl-tRNA synthetases). tRNAs cope with the degeneracy of the genetic code in two manners: having more than one tRNA (with a specific anti-codon) for a particular amino acid; and 'wobble' base-pairing, i.e. permitting non-standard base-pairing at the 3rd anti-codon position. The record is from Rfam by way of RNAcentral. Lineage: Eukaryota; Metazoa; Chordata; Mammalia; Carnivora; Ursidae.
GCUUGGCUGGCUCGGUCGGUAGAGCAUGUGACUCUUGAUCGCAGGGUCGUGAGUUCAAGCCCCACGUUGGGUG